RNAcentral lists this ribosomal RNA (818 nucleotides) under Platyhypnum alpestre. RNAcentral's name for it is "eukaryotic LSU rRNA". The stretch from base 374 to 526 matches the Rfam family "5.8S ribosomal RNA". The record is from RNAcentral. Lineage: Eukaryota; Viridiplantae; Streptophyta; Bryopsida; Hypnales; Amblystegiaceae.
CGCCGGUGACGUUGUGAGAAGUUCAUUAAACCUUAUCAUUUAGAGGAAGGAGAAGUCGUAACAAGGUUUCCGUAGGUGAACCUGCGGAAGGAUCAUUGCACACACAAGUUGCAGCCAACCCGCGGCGAACGAACACAUUGUCCCCCUCGGCGGGUCGUGGCGCCUCGCGGCGUCGCGGUCGGCCGGCUCCCUUCGUCACGAGCGAGCUCCCUCUCGAGCUCCCUCGCGGCGUCGGGUUUCCACCAUGCAUCCACCCUGACCGAAUGACUGAGUCCCGAACAUACUUCAUCAAGGAGCGAGUUCCGCCGCCUUGGCUUUCGGACCAAGGGGUCGGCGCUGGUUACCUUGCGAGUUGUGGAAACGUAACCAAAACAACUCUCAGCAACGGAUAUCUUGGCUCUUGCAACGAUGAAGAACGCAGCGAAAUGCGAUACGUAGUGUGAAUUGCAGAAUUCCGCGAAUCAUCGAGUCUUUGAACGCAAGUUGCGCCCGAGGCUUGUCCGAGGGCAUUUCCGCUAGAGCGUCACCGCGCCCCCCCACCGAUCCACUCCCCUUGGGAGUUGGGUCGAGUGAAAGUGGCCGUCCCGGUGGUCCUUCGAAGGAAGGUCCGAAGGGUUGGCUGAAAUGGAAGGAAUCGGGCCGCCGUGGUGACACAGUCCGCGAUCGGGUGAUCCGAGCUCCUCCGGGAGCCCGGAAUUUUUCUAAGUGCGUGACUGCGUCCCCCAGUUGGUUGCGGUUACCUCGUGCAGGUCGAGCGCGCCCCCGCGGCGCGCGUCACGCAUCAGACCUCUAAUCGGAAAAGACUACCCGCUGAGUUU